GUGGGAGACUAUGAAGCGCUCACGCUAGUGGGUGUGGAGUCGUCACGUGAAAUACCACUCUGACCGUAGUGGAUGUCUCAACCUUGGCCCAUGAUCUGGGUUGGGGACAGUGCCUGGUGGGUAGUUUAACUGGGGCGGUUGCCUCCCAAAAUGUAACGGAGGCGCCCAAAGGUUCCCUCAGCCUGGUUGGCAAUCAGGUGGUGAGUGUAAGUGCACAAGGGAGCUUGACUGUGAGACAGACAUGUCGAGCAGGGACGAAAGUCGGGACUAGUGAUCCGGCACCUACUUGUGGAUGUGGUGUCGCUCAACGGAUAAAAGGUACCCCGGGGAUAACAGGCUGAUCUUCCCCAAGAGUCCAUAUCGACGGGAUGGUUUGGCACCUCGAUGUCGGCUCGUCGCAUCCUGGG
This 407-nucleotide ribosomal RNA is filed under the name Ditylum brightwellii. RNAcentral's name for it is "partial Bacterial large subunit ribosomal RNA". It matches the Rfam family "Bacterial large subunit ribosomal RNA", at positions 2147 to 2551 of the family's 2925-position model. The record is from RNAcentral. Lineage: Eukaryota; Bacillariophyta; Thalassiosirophyceae; Lithodesmiales; Lithodesmiaceae.